RNAcentral lists this ribosomal RNA (464 nucleotides) under uncultured bacterium. RNAcentral describes it as "bacterial SSU rRNA". It matches the Rfam family "Bacterial small subunit ribosomal RNA", at positions 917 to 1382 of the family's 1533-position model. The record is from RNAcentral.
GGGCCCGCACAAGCGGAGGAACAUGUGGUUUAAUUCGAUGAUACGCGAGGAACCUUACCUGGGCUUAAAUGUAGAGUGCAUGUGGUGGAAACACCCUUCCCUUCGGGGCUUUCUACAAGGUGCUGCAUGGUUGUCGUCAGCUCGUGCCGUGAGGUGUCGGGUUAAGUCCCAUAACGAGCGCAACCCCUACCGUUAGUUGCCAUCAGGUCAAGCUGGGGACUCUAGCGGGACUGCCACCGUAAGGUGAGAGGAAGGUGGGGAUGACGUCAAAUCAGCACGGCCCUUAUGUCCAGGGCUACACACGUGUUACAAUGGCAGGUACAAAGGGCAGCUACACCGUGAGGUGAUGCUAAUCUCUAAAGCCUGUCCCAGUUCGGAUUGGAGUCUGCAACCCGACUCCAUGAAGUUGGAUUCGCUAGUAAUCGCGCAUCAGCCAUGGCGCGGUGAAUACGUUCCCGGGCCUU